GACGAACGCUGGCGGCGUGCUUAACACAUGCAAGUCGAACGGAAAGGCCCUGCUUUUGUGGGGUGCUCGAGUGGCGAACGGGUGAGUAACACGUGAGUAACCUGCCCUUGACUUUGGGAUAACUUCAGGAAACUGGGGCUAAUACCGGAUAGGAGCUCCUGCUGCAUGGUGGGGGUUGGAAAGUUUCGGCGGUUGGGGAUGGACUGGCGGCUUAUCAGCUAGUUGGUGGGGUAGUGGCUUACCAAGGCUUUGACGGAUAGCCCGCCGGAGAGGGUGACCGGCCUCAUUGGGCCUGAGAUACGGCCCAGACUCCUACGGGAGGCAGCAGUGGGGAAUAUGGCACAAUGGGAGGAAGCCUGAUGCAGCAACGCCGCGUGCGGGAUGACGGCCUUCGGGUUGUAAACCGCUUUCGCCUGUGACGAAGCGGGAGUGACGGUAAUGGGUAAAGAAGCACCGGCUAACUACGUG
Molecule: ribosomal RNA, 468 nt
Filed under: uncultured bacterium
Lineage: Bacteria
Description: partial 16S ribosomal RNA
Rfam family: Bacterial small subunit ribosomal RNA
Source: RNAcentral